Long non-coding RNA from Varroa destructor (honeybee mite), 3172 nucleotides. RefSeq lists it as uncharacterized. The record is from RefSeq and is a predicted model, not a curated record. NCBI's taxonomy places the organism in Eukaryota, Metazoa, Arthropoda, Arachnida, Mesostigmata, Varroidae.
CUUCACAGACUUAACUGAUAACUCGUGGAUAGCAAAAUCUUAAAGAUGGAUUAGGUGUCAAUGAAUAUACGUAACGCAAUAGGCUUGACUUUGUAAGAAAAUAGAGCGUCUAGUUGGAAAUAGUUAGUGUUCAUCGAAACGUCGCGUACGGUAGCGCCUUUGUUCGUAAUUGGGGCUUGUUAUAGCGAUACGAUGAAAGUUCGUGGCUGUUCCGAUCCUGCAUUAAACAUGGGUUUCAGUGAGAAUGAUCAAGUCAACUCUCGUCAAAUUCUACCCGAAAGGCUGGCGUGUAACGUUUGCCACUAUAUCGUAUAGGCGUUAGUCUACUGCAGCUGUAACCACGUCUUGUGCAGUGACUGUUAUCUGGCGCCUUCCGCAUUCAGAAACAGUUGAUCUGUUCUCCGUCGAUACGACAAAAAACCGCGCCGUUAAAACCGGUUUAGUGAUCUGUAUAAUUUGCCGAACUACUGUCAUCGCAACACGUAUCGACUUGGACGAAAAAGUUCAUCGCCAGUCUGCCAGCCUCGUGCCCAAAGUGCAAAUCGGUCGUGCGACUCGACGGACCCAAGACUCGUAUGAGCCAGUGUAUGACGAUAUCAAACGCAAGCGAUCUAAAUGACACUACGUGGAGGUUUUCCGGAAAAAAGAAUCUCCUUAGGGCAAAGAGUUUUAGGGCAGCGGGUCCAUCGUGUGCAGCAAAGGCCUCCGUUGCAUCUGCUGUCUCAAAAACCAUUGCAGCUAGUCAAUUCUCACCCUACUAAAUGACUCAAGAGAUGUUUAGCCUGAAUCGAUGGCGGCAGCCAGUCCGAACUGCGCGUCCCCCGUGGCAAUUGAGUGUAAUUCAAACGGCAGAAGUAAUGGCACCUGCCUUAUCGUCACCAGCGUCCAUGAGCGCGUCGGCUCGAGCUACAUCUGAUCAUAGACAAUGGUAUCAAUCUACGUGCGACGAAUCGGUGAUCGAGGAACAGCAGGCUCAAACAGAUCCGUGGCCGUUGUAUAUAUUUCUUCUGAGACAGAAUUCAAAUGCCCCUGAGCUCCUCAGUGGCGACCAGACGGUUUCUGAAGCUGUCAAAGACUCGGACAAUCUGUCGAGUACAAAUCAAGCUCCGAUGUUUAUUAAAUCACCCGUGCGCACUGAGCCGCCCGACGGUUAUCAUCCGUUUUAACCGUAUCGCUUUUUUCGAAUUUUCGAGGCCAACCAUUAUGACGCGCUUCAGGCUUAACAGUCAUUAAACGUCAAAAAAGCCUCCUCUAUAAAUAGCCAAUCAAGUGAGCUGAUAAAAGGUCGCCUUUUUACACAUGUAGUAGUUGUACGGGAUCAAAGCUGUUUUAGGCUUCGAUGCAUACGCGUGUUCGUAAAGCCGCAUUCGAAGCUUGUUUUUGAUUUCAAUCACUGGAACCUUACGACAGGAUCACAAAACAUUAUAGAACACCGAUUACGUGGUUCGAUUUUUAUUCAGUGGUUUUUGUUAGAGGAUCACAGAUGUAAUUGUCUACAAAGAGGCAAGUUGUUUGUUUUUUUUUUUUCACUCAAACAAAAUAAGUUACAGAGGCGGCAGGUUUUGCCCUGUAUCGCUUGCCACAUGUCUAGUCCGAUUAAAUUGACUAUUUUAGAUUAUUGAACUGUUUUUAUAUUCGAUGUAUAAACUGAACAUAGGGAGUGCAUGGUACCAAAGCAAGUCAUCAGUAUUAAUCAGCGUAAAUAUAGUGCAUUGACAUAAGCAGGAUCCAAGAAACACCAUGAUACAACGUAUCUAUGCAAUUAUACUCCACAAUAUACCCACAAAUACUGUUUUUACCUUAUUUUAUAGAACGUUAUAUGUAGUCACGUGCUUUCACCUUACCAUAAUAACGAAAAAUCACUAUACGUUUCUUGGAGGUUGUUUGCUUCGGCAAACCGAGCACUAUUUAUGUGGAAAGUGCUAAACAUGAAGGACAACCACUCAAAUACAACGAUUAUGAUUUAACAAUGAGGUGACGUUAAGAUAUCAUACUAAGUAUAGACGACCUUGUCCCUAUAGAAAUGAAACGCGGAACAUAUGAAAUUUUUCUAUAAAAUGUUUUAUUUGAAAUCAUUCUUUUUUACCUAUCGAAUAUAUGAAUAGAAACAGAAAGAAAAACAACCGUGUCGCUGUGUAAUAAAUAAUGUAUAGCGUUCGAGCAAAAGUUUAAAGCGUUUCUUCAGAUCCAUCCUACGUGCGCAACAAACCUCCAGCUUUAAGCUACCGAUUUAAUCGUUUACUAUUUUUUACGGAUAGACUCUUACCUGCAACAUAUGAUAAUGGAAUAAAAAUUUCAAUUUUGACUUUAAUAGGUGGCACCUAUCAUAUCACUCCGUACCCCCAAAUGUGACUAGUCUAGGAUUAUUUCUGGUUUGUAGAAAACGCAGUUCGGGCGUUCGAUGAGCUUGCUCGAUUACUAUGUAGAUGCUAAAUAUGUGCAACACGUAUUUUAUAAUUAUUUUAUUCACUGUAUUGGUAAACUCUACACGGAGCUCAAGGGGGAAGCUCGACAUCGUUUUCAUCAAAAGAAAAAUUACAAAUUCCACCAGCGUUGUGGAGGCUAAACAAAUAUACUAUAUAGCGAAGCUUCUCGAUUCAAUUCUCUCUCAGAUAGCUAGCCGGUUGGAUAUAUAAACGCUGGUCUGACACUACAGCAGUACUCGAAGCCGCACCAUGGUCUAGACAAAGACUGUGCAAGGAAACAACAGGUUGCAGUUGAGCGUGGCUCAGAGGAGGAGGCUCCGAUGCAGAGGCGCAGGUCCAAGAGUGGCUUGCCUCGACCGUCAAGCUGCGCCCGAUCAGACGCUGCCGUGUCACCCAGCCAAGGAGAACAGCUGGAUUGUGGCGAUUUCGUACUGCUAGUAAGACCUCGAGGAAGAUCGAAAGCGUCGACGCCGUCUAAUUUGGGCAGGCUUCGGGUCCUGAUGAGUUUUUCGUGGGGUGGUCCAGGAGGAGGCUCCGAGAACUUGGCACGAAUUUGACGACCGUGAUUAGGGCCCUACAGCGGCUCCGAGUUCCCAUCCCAGGAAGGCGCGAGCUAGCUCAUUUGUAAUCGCCGCGCAUGUGCCAGACAACUGAUAGCGACAAGAAUUUUCGCUUGUGUGGUGGACGGCUGUCUGCUAGUACUUGAAGAUGGUGGCAUGAAUAAACGCGAGUUUUAAGCGUUAGAA